GAGAAAGUAAAUAAGGGCGAAUGGAGGAUGCCUAGGCUUUCGGAGGCGAAGAAGGACGUGGUAAGCUGCGAAAAGCUGCGGGGAU
This 85-nucleotide ribosomal RNA is filed under the name Prevotellaceae bacterium. RNAcentral's name for it is "partial 23S ribosomal RNA". It matches the Rfam family "Bacterial large subunit ribosomal RNA", at positions 1 to 85 of the family's 2925-position model. Lineage: Bacteria; Pseudomonadati; Bacteroidota; Bacteroidia; Bacteroidales; Prevotellaceae. The record is from RNAcentral.